UGCUGGAUAAUUCUACCACAAGUCAUCCAGAAUGAGGACUUUCUCAUUCUCGGGGUAUUCCAAAUCAGCAAGCUUAUUGGGGCAACUGGCGGUGAAGGGGAUCCUCACCAGUAUCCCCCUCCAUCUGGGUGUUAACCUCUGUCCUUAUAGCCAUUGAAUCCACAGCGGAUGGACUCCUCUCUGCCCUCUGAAUGGCCUACCUC
Molecule: long non-coding RNA, 203 nt
Filed under: Elaeis guineensis (African oil palm)
Lineage: Eukaryota; Viridiplantae; Streptophyta; Magnoliopsida; Arecales; Arecaceae
Description: long non-coding RNA (EGUI_LNC077703)
Source: RNAcentral